RNAcentral lists this small nuclear RNA (107 nucleotides) under Dasypus novemcinctus (nine-banded armadillo). Lineage: Eukaryota; Metazoa; Chordata; Mammalia; Cingulata; Dasypodidae. The record is from RNAcentral.
CUGCUUGCUUCGGCAGCUCAUGUACUAAUAUUGGAACUAUACAAAGAAGAGUAGCAUGACCCCUGCGUAAAGAUGACACGCAAAUUUGUGAAGCAUUCCAUAUUUUU